GCCUUCGUUGUUCAAUGGUCAGCACACUCGGCGCGUAUUCGAGAGGUCCGUGGUUCGAGUCUCGGCGAGGGCC
RNAcentral lists this transfer RNA (73 nucleotides) under Stegodyphus mimosarum. It matches the Rfam family "tRNA". From Rfam's summary of the family: Transfer RNA (tRNA) molecules are approximately 80 nucleotides in length. Their secondary structure includes four short double-helical elements and three loops (D, anti-codon, and T loops). Further hydrogen bonds mediate the characteristic L-shaped molecular structure. tRNAs have two regions of fundamental functional importance: the anti-codon, which is responsible for specific mRNA codon recognition, and the 3' end, to which the tRNAs corresponding amino acid is attached (by aminoacyl-tRNA synthetases). tRNAs cope with the degeneracy of the genetic code in two manners: having more than one tRNA (with a specific anti-codon) for a particular amino acid; and 'wobble' base-pairing, i.e. permitting non-standard base-pairing at the 3rd anti-codon position. Lineage: Eukaryota; Metazoa; Arthropoda; Arachnida; Araneae; Eresidae. The record is from Rfam by way of RNAcentral.